GUGGGGAAUAUUGGACAAUGGGGGGAACCCUGAUCCAGCCAUGCCGCGUGUGUGAAGAAGGCCUUUUGGUUGUAAAGCACUUUAAGCGAGGAGGAGGCUACCGAGAUUAAUACUCUUGGAUAGUGGACGUUACUCGCAGAAUAAGCACCGGCUAACUCUGUGCCAGCAGCCGCGGUAAUACAGAGGGUGCAAGCGUUAAUCGGAUUUACUGGGCGUAAAGCGCGCGUAGGUGGCCAAUGAAGUCAAAUGUGAAAUCCCCGGGCUUAACUUGGGAAUUGCAUUCGAUACUGGUUGGCUAGAGUAUAGGAGAGGAUGGUAGAAUUCCAGGUGUAGCGGUGAAAUGCGUAGAGAUCUGGAGGAAUACCGAUGGCGAAGGCAGCCAUCUGGCCUAAUACUGACACUGAGGUGCGAAAGCAUGGGGAGCAAACAGGAUUAGAUACCCUGGUAGUCC
RNAcentral lists this ribosomal RNA (451 nucleotides) under uncultured bacterium. Its description in RNAcentral is "partial 16S ribosomal RNA". It matches the Rfam family "Bacterial small subunit ribosomal RNA", at positions 354 to 796 of the family's 1533-position model. The record is from RNAcentral.